This 165-nucleotide non-coding RNA is filed under the name human gut metagenome. The record is from RNAcentral.
GUCGCGAGGCCGAAUCUGAAGGAAGUCGGCGGCAAACGUCUGGCCUGACGUACAGAAACUUGAUAUCAAGGCAGUCCAAGGUGGGUAAGGUUGCUAUAGAAACCAAAGCCCGAUAGCUAUACGGAACCGCGGCUGUAAAUCAAGCAGGUAUAAGGCGGAAAGACU